GGCAGUUCCUGGGUGAGGCACCCCAAAAUCAGGCUCCCUCCUCUCUGGUUUCAAGUUGUGUCACCCAAGAACUGCC
Myotis davidii is the source of this 76-nucleotide non-coding RNA. NCBI's taxonomy places the organism in Eukaryota, Metazoa, Chordata, Mammalia, Chiroptera, Vespertilionidae. The record is from Rfam.